This 459-nucleotide ribosomal RNA is filed under the name uncultured bacterium. Its description in RNAcentral is "partial 16S ribosomal RNA". It matches the Rfam family "Bacterial small subunit ribosomal RNA", at positions 338 to 795 of the family's 1533-position model. The record is from RNAcentral.
CCUACGGGUGGCUGCAGUGAGGAAUAUUGGUCAAUGGGAGAGAUCCUGAACCAGCCAAGCCGCGUGAGGGAAGACGGCUCUAUGGGUUGUAAACCUCUUUUGUCGGAGAACAAAUCCCGGGACGAGUCCCGGACUGCGUGUAUCCGAAGAAAAAGCAUCGGCUAACUCCGUGCCAGCAGCCGCGGUAAUACGGAGGAUGCGGGCGUUAUCCGGAUUUAUUGGGUUAAAGGGGUGCGUAGGCGGUCUGUUAAGUCCGCGGUAAAAUUGCGGGGCUAAACUCCGUCGAGCCGUUGAAACUGGCAGACUUGAGUUGGCGAGAAGUACGCGGAAUGCGCGGUGUAGCGGUGAAAUGCAUAGAUAUCGCGCAGAACCCCGAUUGCGAAGGCAGCGUACCGGCGCCAGACUGACGCUGAGGCACGAAAGCGUGGGGAGCGAACAGGAUUAGAUACCCUAGUAGUC